Molecule: ribosomal RNA, 468 nt
Filed under: uncultured bacterium
Lineage: Bacteria
Description: partial 16S ribosomal RNA
Rfam family: Bacterial small subunit ribosomal RNA
Source: RNAcentral
GACGAACGCUGGCGGCGUGCUUAACACAUGCAAGUCGAACGGAAAGGCCCUGCUUUUGUUGGGUGCUCGAUUGGCGAACGGGUGAGUAACACGUGAGUAACCUGUCCUUGACUUUGGGAUAACUUUAGGAAACUGGGGCUAUUACCGGGUAGGAGCUCCUGCUGCAUGGUGUGGGUUGGAAAGUUUCGGCGGUUGGGGCUGGACUCGCGGCUUAUCCGCUUGUUGGUGGGGUAGUGGCUUACCAAGGCUUUGAAGGGUAGCCGGCCUGAGAGGGUGACCGGCCACAUUGGGACUGAGAUACGGCCCAGACUCCUACGGGAGGCAGCAGUGGGGAAUAUUGCACAAUGGGCGGAAGCCUGAUGCAGAAACGCCGCGUGCGGGAUGACGGCCUUCGGGUUGUAAACCGCUUUCGCCUGUGACGAAGCGUGAGUGACGGUAAUGGGUAAAGAAGCACCGGCUAACUACGUG